This 429-nucleotide ribosomal RNA is filed under the name uncultured bacterium. Its description in RNAcentral is "bacterial SSU rRNA". It matches the Rfam family "Bacterial small subunit ribosomal RNA", at positions 356 to 773 of the family's 1533-position model. The record is from RNAcentral.
CAGGAAUAUUGCGCAAUGGAGGAAACUCUGACGCAGCGACGCCGCGUGGGUGAUGAAGGCCUUCGGGUCGUAAAGCCCUGUCGGAGGGGAAGCAAAGUUGUCUGGCUAAUAUCCAGAUGACCUUUGACGGUACCCUCAAAGGAAGCACCGGCUAACUCCGUGCCAGCAGCCGCGGUAAUACGGGGGGAGCAAGCGUUGUUCGGAUUUACUGGGCGUAAAGGGCGCGUAGGCGGCCACCGCAAGUCGACUGUGAAAUCUCCGGGCUUAACCCGGAAAGGUCAGCCGAUACUGCGGGGCUAGAGUGCAGAAGGGGCAACUGGAAUUCUCGGUGUAGCGGUGAAAUGCGUAGAUAUCGAGAGGAACACCUGCGGCGAAGGCGGGUUGCUGGGCUGACACUGACGCUGAUGCGCGAAAGCUAGGGGAGCGAAC